GUGGGGAAUCUUAGACAAUGGGCGCAAGCCUGAUCUAGCCAUGCCGCGUGAGUGAUGAAGGCCCUAGGGUUGUAAAGCUCUUUCAGCUGGGAAGAUAAUGACGGUACCAGCAGAAGAAGCCCCGGCUAACUCCGUGCCAGCAGCCGCGGUAAUACGGAGGGGGCUAGCGUUGUUCGGAAUUACUGGGCGUAAAGCGCGCGUAGGCGGACUGAAAAGUUGGGGGUGAAAUCCCGGGGCUCAACCUCGGAACUGCCUUCAAAACUAUCAGUCUGGAGUUCGAGAGAGGUGAGUGGAAUUCCGAGUGUAGAGGUGAAAUUCGUAGAUAUUCGGAGGAACACCAGUGGCGAAGGCGGCUCACUGGCUCGAUACUGACGCUGAGGUGCGAAAGCGUGGGGAGCAAACAGGAUUAGAUACCCCAGUAGUCC
This 425-nucleotide ribosomal RNA is filed under the name uncultured bacterium. RNAcentral's name for it is "bacterial SSU rRNA". It matches the Rfam family "Bacterial small subunit ribosomal RNA", at positions 354 to 796 of the family's 1533-position model. The record is from RNAcentral.